UCCUUAUAAAGAGUCGGGGGAGGAAACUGGUCUUACGAUCCCGCAGCAACCUCUUGUCAGUAAGAAGGUGCUCAAUCCAGCAGGCAUGAUCUGAAAGAUAAGGA
This 104-nucleotide non-coding RNA is filed under the name Halobacillus sp. RNAcentral describes it as "SAM-I sequence". It matches the Rfam family "SAM riboswitch aptamer (S box leader)". Rfam says of the family: The SAM riboswitch is found upstream of a number of genes which code for proteins involved in methionine or cysteine biosynthesis in Gram-positive bacteria. The SAM riboswitch acts at the level of transcription termination control. The predicted structure consists of a complex stem-loop region followed by a single stem loop terminator region. Lineage: Bacteria; Bacillati; Bacillota; Bacilli; Caryophanales; Bacillaceae. The record is from RNAcentral. RNAcentral also lists the same sequence under 1 other name.